AUACGGAGGGUGCAAGCGUUAAUCGGAAUUACUGGGCGUAAAGCGCGCGUAGGCGGCUUAUUAAGUCAGAUGUGAAAUCCCCGGGCUCAACCUGGGAACUGCAUCUGAUACUGGUAAGCUAGAGUUUUGGAGAGGGAAGUAGAAUUUCAGGUGUAGCGGUGAAAUGCAUAGAGAUCUGAAGGAAUACCAGUGGCGAAGGCGACUUCCUGGCCAAAAACUGACGCGGAGGUGCGAAAGCGUGGGUAGCAAACGGGAUUAGAAACCCUAGUAGUCC
This 274-nucleotide ribosomal RNA is filed under the name uncultured bacterium. RNAcentral describes it as "partial 16S ribosomal RNA". It matches the Rfam family "Bacterial small subunit ribosomal RNA", at positions 523 to 796 of the family's 1533-position model. The record is from RNAcentral.